Molecule: ribosomal RNA, 267 nt
Filed under: uncultured bacterium
Lineage: Bacteria
Description: partial 16S ribosomal RNA
Rfam family: Bacterial small subunit ribosomal RNA
Source: RNAcentral
GCUGGCGACCGGCGCACGGGUGAGUAACACGUAUCCAACCUGUCUCAUACUCGGGGAUAGCCUUUCGAAAGAAAGAUUAAUAUCCGAUAGCAUAUAUUUCCCGCAUGGGUUUUAUAUUAAAGAAAUUCGGUAUGAGAUGGGGAUGCGUUCCAUUAGGCAGUUGGUGGGGUAACGGCCCACCAAACCUUCGAUGGAUAGGGGUUCUGAGAGGAAGGUCCCCCACAUUGGAACUGAGACACGGUCCAAACUCCUACGGGAGGCAGCAUG